Oncorhynchus tshawytscha (Chinook salmon) is the source of this 697-nucleotide long non-coding RNA. The record is from Ensembl. NCBI's taxonomy places the organism in Eukaryota, Metazoa, Chordata, Actinopteri, Salmoniformes, Salmonidae.
UUACAGGGGCGAAUCACGCCGAAUGCUCCGUAAAAAAUUGAUAGAGAUGGAAUUCACGGCACAAAUAGUUUACAAAAUGUUUAGAUUUAGGCUAUAAAAAUGGAUUUUAUCAAAGAAAACGGCACUUCAUUUGUUCAAUGAGAUACUCUGGAAGAGAAAUAAGAGCAAGAUAUCAGAAUGCCGGUGGUGGCUGGUCCCCUGCAAGAAGGUGAGGUGCCUGAGGUCCCUCCGCCCCCUCUGGACAUCGAGGGGUCCCCGGCAUACACGGUUCGGGGCAUUCUGGAUUCGAGACGCCGGGUGGGGGGCCUACAGUACCUCGUGGACUGUGAGGGGUACGGUCCGGAGGAGAGAUGCUGGGUGCCGGUGGGGGACAUUUUGGACCCUUCUCUCCUGAGAGAUUUCCACCGCCUCCACCCGGAUCGCCCGGCACCUCGUCCUCCAGGUCGUCCUCGAGGCCGGGGUCGGAGAAUAAAUUGACAAUCUACUGAACCCUGCUCUCUGCGCCUGAUUUCACCCACCACUCCUAGUAAAUCGUGACAGCUGCCCCAAAGCAGAGCUGGAGGCAGCUACUUAGGUGGCCUGGUUUUAUCUAAAUUCUCCAAAGUUCUUUAGCCAAUCACUUUAAUAAUUCAAUGUUUUAUUCAGGCCUAUCCAAAUAAUAAAAUAGGUGUUCAACUUGUAGGCUUUGCAAAAUUAG